AAACAACAGUAAUAUUGAGGGAAUAAAUAGAACAUUUUGUCUUUCUAAAUGAAUUAUUGAGCAAAGCUGUGUAAAUAUAUGUAACAUGCAUGAAUAUAUAUUCCAAUACCUCUAAUAAUUGUAGACAAAAUGUUGUCAUUGUCAUAAACCUAUAUAUACAUUGAAUGUGGGAAUAUGUCAAUUAGUUCAUGUCAUGCAUGGUCAGUUUUACAAAUAUGUCUUUUGAAAUGCCCUUCAUGCAGAAUUAUUGGCAUUGCUCCAUGGUUUGAACCUAGCAAAGGAAAAAUAAAGUAAAACAGUUGCUGGUGGAAACUGACUCUCAGGUAUUGCUUAAUACAUUAAAAGGAAAUAAUCUUAUUUACUCACAUAUUUACACUGAUUAAUUACAGGUCACUAAUCCAGCAGAUGGAGGAGGCAUCUCUGCAACACAUUCAGAGGGAGGCUAACUGAUCAGUGGCGGACCUACUAGCAGAUUACGGAAGGACAACAAAGGAUCCAAAUAUGAAUAUAAACCAGCUUAGCCUUUUUGAUGCAUCUCCUUCCUUUAUAUUAAAAACUCUCAAAAGAGAUUCUACUGGAACUACAUCGCUUAGAUCAAUUCCUUUUUUGUAAUGGAUAAACCUUAUAUUAAAUAAAUAAAAUCCUUUCAUUCUUAAGCAAAAAAAAAAAUGUCUUUUGGGUUAUAAUGCCACAUCGAAUUCCAAAAACGUGCGUACUAUGUGAACUUAAAAUUUA
Molecule: long non-coding RNA, 735 nt
Filed under: Solanum tuberosum (potato)
Lineage: Eukaryota; Viridiplantae; Streptophyta; Magnoliopsida; Solanales; Solanaceae
Description: long non-coding RNA (STUB_LNC000258)
Source: RNAcentral